UCACCAGCUUUUGAGUGAUUUAAUCCCUUACCAGUUGCACUAAAGUUGUAGAAACAAAGUUCACUCCCAACAUUUUAUUCCAUGGAAGUGACUCAUUGUAACGGUCGCUGUCCCCCAGACGGAACACCAAACAAAAAGAUAGGUGAAUAAAUAAGUGGAUUUUCUUCACACCCCACAGAAACGGAAAUUGAUGAACCUCCUUUGUAAAGUAGGAAGCUGAGACGAAGAGAACAAUUAAGACCCAGCAGAAUGGAUCCCAUCAAGAAUUUGUUAACUAUUGCCUGACUCCAAACACUGAGGAGCAGCAGAAGUUCGGAACUCCUGACAGCAUCAUUGACUCAGAAAGAUGAAGGGAAAAAUGAAGUUCAAAGCAACUUCCUUCAUUUACCCUGAAUUGUAAUUCAUGUUAUUGAAUGGUAUACAAAAUCAAAGUGAAUCAAAGCUGUAUUUACAGUACAGCUGGAGACUUUUUACUUGUUCCAUCAAAUGCUGUUCAACUCAAAUGACAUAGGUCAAACUGUGCAAACUGAGCAAAUUAUAACAUAUGCCAAGCAUAUAAAUUCCUCAGCAUUCCGCUUUAAAAAUUCUGGAGUGUACCUUAAUUAAAUCUUCUCUUGUAUGAUCUUGUUGAGAUAAUGUUACAAUAGUCUUUCUCAGUUUUCAGAUGAUGACAAUGAAUCUUACAUAUAAAAUAUACUAGCAGUUAUGUCAGGGCUUUGCUCAAGGUGAGAUGAGCAAGGUGCUAACAAAAAGUUCUAGCGUUAAAUGCACAUUGAAUUAAAUCAAAUAAACUAAACUUACUAAGCCAAGCAAUAAAUAUACUUAGCAAAGUGUAUCAUAAUAAAGAUGCUGUGAGAUGCAUUAUAUCAACUCUGAAGCCAUCCUGUCCAACAUUUUAAU
Long non-coding RNA from Rhincodon typus (whale shark), 900 nucleotides. RefSeq lists it as uncharacterized. The transcript has 3 exons. NCBI's taxonomy places the organism in Eukaryota, Metazoa, Chordata, Chondrichthyes, Orectolobiformes, Rhincodontidae. The record is from RefSeq and is a predicted model, not a curated record.